GUGCUCACUUCGGCAGCACAUAUACUGAAAUUGGAACAAUACAGAGAAUAUUAGGAUGACCCAUGCACAAGGACAACAUGCAAAUUCAUGAAGUGUUCUGCAUUUUU
This is a small nuclear RNA of Dipodomys spectabilis (banner-tailed kangaroo rat), 107 nucleotides long. The record is from RefSeq and is a predicted model, not a curated record. NCBI's taxonomy places the organism in Eukaryota, Metazoa, Chordata, Mammalia, Rodentia, Heteromyidae.